RNAcentral lists this ribosomal RNA (403 nucleotides) under uncultured Actinomycetes bacterium. Its description in RNAcentral is "bacterial SSU rRNA". It matches the Rfam family "Bacterial small subunit ribosomal RNA", at positions 9 to 416 of the family's 1533-position model. Lineage: Bacteria; Bacillati; Actinomycetota; Actinomycetes. The record is from RNAcentral.
GAGUUUGAUCGUGGCUCAGGACGAACGCUGGCGGCGUGCUUAACACAUGCAAGUCGAGCGGAAAGGCCCUUCGGGGUACUCGAGCGGCGAACGGGUGAGUAACACGUGAGUAACCUGCCCUGGACUUUGGGAUAACCCUCGGAAACGGGGGCUAAUACCGAAUACGACAUUUCACCGCAUGGUGUGGAUGUGGAAAGUUUUUCGGUCUGGGAUGGACUCGCGGCCUAUCAGCUUGUUGGUGGGGUAAUGGCCUACCAAGGCGACGACGGGUAGCCGGCCUGAGAGGGCGACCGGCCACACUGGGACUGAGACACGGCCCAGACUCCUACGGGAGGCAGCAGUGGGGAAUAUUGCACAAUGGGCGGAAGCCUGAUGCAGCGACGCCGCGUGAGGGAUGACGGCC